Molecule: non-coding RNA, 73 nt
Organism: Stegodyphus mimosarum
Lineage: Eukaryota; Metazoa; Arthropoda; Arachnida; Araneae; Eresidae
Source: Rfam
GCCUUCUUGGUGUAAUGGUGAACACACUCAGCACGCAUUCGAGAGGCCCGUGGUUCGAAUCCCGGCGAGGGCA